Molecule: ribosomal RNA, 198 nt
Filed under: Triticum aestivum (bread wheat)
Lineage: Eukaryota; Viridiplantae; Streptophyta; Magnoliopsida; Poales; Poaceae
Description: partial small subunit ribosomal RNA
Source: RNAcentral
AUGACGAUGCCACUGGAAAUUAUGAUUACUAUAUCCGCACAGCCUCAUACCUGGACUACUUGGGUAAUUCUCAUCAACAUUUCGUAUGAAAGGCGCAUCAAGCCCUACCUGAUUCCCCUUGUGUGCCUAAAGAUGCAUUUUAUUGCCACUAACAAAAUGGUGAGCUAUUAUAAAAAAAAGGCACACCAUGAUAAUUAA